RNAcentral lists this long non-coding RNA (3268 nucleotides) under Homo sapiens (human). RNAcentral describes it as "HSALNT0349137". The record is from RNAcentral. Lineage: Eukaryota; Metazoa; Chordata; Mammalia; Primates; Hominidae.
UUUACAUACAAAACUCUUUUUUGUUUAUUUUUUGGUCUUUUGUUUUGUUUUGUUUCGGGGGGAAAGAAGUGGUUUUCUUUGUCAUCCUGGUCCUUAAUAGUAUUAGCCAAGGCUCCUCUCAGCUGCUCUCCUGCCCUGCUCUGCCCUCUACAGCCCUCUCUUGGAAGGACUCCCCUCUCCACCAGUAGAGGACGCCAAUGUGACAUGAAGGCUGCUGGGAAAUGUAGUCCAUGGUCUUAAAGGGUCUGCUCUGAGUCCCAGGAACCCCUCCUCUAGCUGCAGGAUGGGCUUAAACCUUUUAAGCCUAGAAUUUACAACAGUUUGGGGGCCUUUCUCUCUUGGUUCUUCAAUUAGCCCUAUCCAGAACACUUUGCAAAGCUUAAGGAGAGCCCAGGGCUGUUCACAACUUCCCCUUCCUCUAAGGCCUCCAGCACAGUGAGGUAAUGGAAUUGUGAUUAUGACAUCAUGGACAGUUCAGCUGCUUGCACUGGGGGAAAGGGAGAGUAUCAUGGUUACAGCUGGAUCACCUAAGGCAGAGAGGGAAGGAACCAACAGGUAUAUGAAGAAGACUGUAUUUCCUCCUCAGGAAGAAAAAAUCACCUAUAAUGAUCAGAUACAUGAAAAUAUGUCAUCUGCAGUGUAUGAAUAAGAAAAUGGCUCAAGAAAAACAUGCCAUUUUGCAGGACAAAUAGCUCAACAAACUCUCAACAAAGAACAGAAGGGAACUCCUUCAACUGAAAAAUAUCUAUAAAGAUCUACAACUAGUAUCAUAUUCAAUGGUGAAAAACUACAUGAUUUUUCCUUACGAUCAGGAAUAUGGCAAGAAUGUCCUCUGUUACUCAAAGUGGUACAUUAAAUUCUAGCCAGUGCAGUUGAGCAAACCGGCAAGAUAAAGAGAUUAAAGGACAUCUGGGUUAAAAAUGUUUUAUUCACAGGUAAUAUGAACCUGUAUCUAGAAAAUUUUAAGGAUUUCAUGAAACAAUUUAUGAAAACUAAUAAGCUCAUCAAUGACUCUGAGUAAAGAUCAACAUAUAAACAUCAAAUGUAUUUCUACAUACUAGUAAUAAUCCAAAAAUGAAAUUAGCAAACCAAGCAUAUACGUAUAGCACCAAAAAAAACCUGCUUAGAAAUACGUUUAACAACAACAACAGCAAAAUGCAAAAGGUAUAUACAGAAAACUACAAAACUUUCCUGGGAGAAAUUUGAACAGACUUAAUUAAUGGAGAACAUUAUGUUCAUGCAUUUGAAAGCUAACUAAUUUUAAGAUGACAAUUCUUGAUCUAUUGAUCUAAUGCAUUCUCUAUUGAAGUCUGACUAGAAUUUUUCGCAAAAUGACAAGCCAAUUCUAAAAUAUAUAUGAGAAAACAAGACACAGAAAAGUACAAAGGCUUUUUUAAAAAGUUAGAGAACUUACAUUACCUGAUUUCAACAGUUAGUACAAAAAGGAAUAGUAUUAGCCAAAAACUCAGAGUUAAGUGGCUCCUAGGGCCCAUCUCUAAAAAAAACAAGCAGAAAGUGUCAGAAUCAACUCAUUGGCACUCUGGAAAACAGUCAGAGGUUGACAGGAACCGAAUGAAUGUUAACCACGGAAAAAACAACUUAAAAAUGUCGAGAACUUGGUAGCAUUGUUACUUGUUCUUGUGCCACCUCACUUCCCUGACCACCAGCAGUCUUGAAGGUGGCAGCUCAUGUUCUCAGUGAGACCCUGGUCCCUGGCUCCAGAGGGAACAAAGCAGACCUUCUAUGCGAAGAAUUGUGUUUGUCUCUUUUAACCUGUCUGAAGACAUCCUGAGCAACUGAGGCAAGGUGUUUGCUUUGUUUCAACUAAACUGAAACUCUCUCAGGAAGAAAAGAAGUUAUUCAGAGGCCAGGCCUUGAAAACAAUGAAAGGUAAAUGGACAGCCUCUCUGCCAUCUGGGACAGACAAUUAUAGUGAAGCAAACAAGCAAAAUAUGGAAGCCUGAAAGGAGGCUCUGAGAAGAGAGGUUCUUUGAGCAAGUAGGGCAUGGAAAAGCUCCUGUAUUCUGGGGAAUGUAUACUGGGAAAUUUAAAAGCCAUGUACUUGGCUGGGCACGGUGGCUUAUGUCUGUAAUCCAGCACUUUGGGAGGCCAAGGCGGGCAAAUCAUGAGGUCAGGAGUUCAAGACCAGCCUGGCCAAUAUGGUGAAACCUCAUCUCUACAAAAAGAUACAAAAAUUACCCGGGCGUGGUGGCAGGCGCCUGUAGUUCCAGCUACUCAGGAGGCUGAGGCGGGAUAAUAGCUUGAACCCGGGGGGCAGCAGUUGCAGUGGGCCGAGAUCGCGCCACUGCACUCCAGCCUGGGUGACAGAGUGAGACGGCGUCCCAAAAAAAAAAAAAAAAAAAAUAAGCCAUAUGCUUGCUUAGAGUAGGACACAUGUUCAAAUGUGUUCAGAAAGGCCGGAGAAGGCCUAAAGCUUUCGCCCCUGGCUGAUCUUCAGGCUCAAUAAGCAAAGAGUGAAGGCUAAUACAGUGCGGUAAACAGCCUACCUAAGUGCCAAAGGAGUGCCAACACAGAUUGCCAACACAUGCCAAUCUGCAAAGACAAGAAGAGUAUGUGUUUUCUCAUUUUUCUCUUUUUUAAUUUUUCUGUCUUUGUUUGGUUGUUUAGUUGGUUUUUCUUUUUCUUUCUGCUUUAGACAUUUAAGAAAAUCUGUCAACAUGACAACCUGUAUGUGCUGCAGAGCUUUCUUUUGUUCUGGGCUCUACUCAAAACCAGCUAUUUCUACGGCAAAUCAGUAAAUGGACCAUAGUAGUAGACCCAAAUGAGAAAUUUGUUUCUGUUAGAGUAGGUAGCUAGGCAGACAUGAGUGGGACAGGAGAGACCUGCCCCCAAGGAAUGUCAGGCAAACAUGAAGUGAUGAUCAGGUGGUUGUUACAUUGUAUCUCUAAAAUGAUAAUCAGUCGCAUCCGGUGCCAGGAAAGGCAAUCUCUCAAUAGAUAGAAAAUAUUUGAAGCUGGUGACCAGCAGCUUCUCAAUACGAUCUCAGGAGAUGGGCGAGCAGCUUCAAGCAUGCACACUAAGAGGCAAAAUGGCAGUUUAACAGGUAAGGGAACUUCCUCUAGAAACACUCGCCUGGUAAAGGAAAAACACCUCAAGUGAACAUGUGCACAACUUCGGUAAACACACUGUGCAUGUGACCCCUCCCAAGUGCUGGCAGGCCACUGCCCAUGUAAACAGCCCAUCCCAAGAGGUGAAUCAGGGGAGAAGUAGCACAACCCUGGAAGCAUGUCAAUGUAUAAGACCCCCA